This 379-nucleotide ribosomal RNA is filed under the name uncultured bacterium. RNAcentral describes it as "bacterial SSU rRNA". It matches the Rfam family "Bacterial small subunit ribosomal RNA", at positions 521 to 896 of the family's 1533-position model. The record is from RNAcentral.
UAAUACGUAGGGGGCAAGCGUUGUCCGGAUUUAUUGGGCGUAAAGAGCUCGUAGGCGGUUCGAUAAGUCGGCUGUGAAAUCUCCACGCUUAACGUGGAGGGGUCAGUCGAUACUGUCGUGACUCGAGUCCGGUAGGGGAGAAUGGAAUUCCCGGUGUAGCGGUGAAAUGCGCAGAGAUCGGGAGGAACACCCGUAGCGAAGGCGGUUCUCUGGGCCGGUACUGACGCUGAGGAGCGAAAGCGUGGGGAGCAAACAGGAUUAGAUACCCUGGUAGUCCACGCCGUAAACGUUGGGCACUAGGUGUGGGGCUCUAUCAACGGGUUCCGUGCCGUAGCUAACGCAUUAAGUGCCCCGCCUGGGGAGUACGGCCGCAAGGCUA